AUGGCUGCAAACCAUUUGCAUCUGCUGUUGUGCUUAGCACUAGCCAUGCUUGUUUCCCUCGACUUCUCAUGCGCACAAACGGGCAUCACAUCUGGGUCCUCCCUGAAGGCCGCCGCGGGCGCCGGCUGGUCGUCCCCGUCCGGCCGCUUCUCCUUCGGCUUCUACGCCACGGAAGGCGGCCUCGCGGUCGGCGUCUGGCUCACCACCACGCCCAACGUAACCAUCACGUGGACCGCGAACCGCAACGACACGGCAACGGGCGGCGCGCUAAGGCUCGCCGACGACGGUCGUCUCCUCUGGACCGGCGCGGACGACCACGACAGGACCGUCGCGCAGCCGUCAAGGCCGGCCGUGGCGGGCGCCAUGCGCGAUGACGGCAACUUUGUGCUGUUCGGCGCCGAUGGCGCGGUGGUGUGGCAGACGUUCGAGUCCCCGACGGACACCCUGGUCGCCGGGCAGGACCUCGUGCCCGCGGCGCAGCUCUUCUCCAGCGUGUCCGACACCAACAAGGCCGUCGGGAAGUACCGGCUCGCCAACCAGCAACACGACGGCAACCUGGUGUUGUACCCGGUGGGCACACCGAACGACGCAGCCUCGUCGUACUGGAACACGGGGACGUUCGAUCUGGGUUUCACACUCACCUUGCGCCUUGAUACCGGUGGCCUGCUCUACCUGGUGAACAACGAUGGCAGCUUUACCAAGAACCUGACACGGCCUGGGGCCUUGAAAGCGGGAGAGCAAGCCUACUACCGACUCACGCUUGAUCCUGAUGGAGUUCUGCGUUUGUAUCGUCAUACCUUCGUGUCUGGCUCUGGCAGUGCGUCCAAUACCACCACCGUCGUGUGGAGCGCUCUGACCGAUCGGUGCGAUGUCCAUGGCGUUUGCGGGCACAACAGCUACUGUGUCCUCGACCAGGAUCGGCCUAGCUGUUUGUGCCCGCCAGGGUUCGAUUUUCUCGACGCGAGCAAUGCGGAGCUCGGUUGCACGGUGAACUCCAGCGCCGGCGACUGUAAAUGGGGGCAGCAACAAGAUGCCGCAGACUUCUCCGUGAAGUUGAUGCCAAACAUGGAGUGGGCGGACGUACCGCACGAGGUGGUGCGCAAUGCCACGAGCGCGGCAGAAUGCAUGGCGGCAUGCAUGGCCGACUGCUUGUGCGUUGCAGUGCUGUGGGACACCGACAAAGGCACGUGCAGUAAGCAGCAGCUCCCUCUGCGGUACGGCCGCGCUGGAGGCAGAUACACGCUGUUCGUCAAGACCGCGGGAGCGGCGACAGGCGGCAGCGGCACCCACAGCAAACCCGUCGGUCGCACGACCAUCAUCGUGCUGGUUUGCAUCGGCAUCCUGGCAUUCGUCGCGUUGUCGGCCUUCAUUGCGGCCGGGUGGCUGCUCCACGUGAAACGGAGGGCCGUGCCCCGGAACGUGGCACCCGCGAACGCGGACGCCGACGGCGGCAAAGGCUUGGAGGAGGAGGAGGCGGCGCCCCUGAGGUCUUACAGUUACCAGGAGCUGGAGCGCGCCACGUACUGCUUCCGUGACCCGGUGGGUCGCGGCGCGUUCGGCACGGUGUUCAAAGGCGCGCUGCGCAACGGCGAGCAGACUAUCGCCGUGAAGCGGCUGGAGAAGCUCGUGGAGGAUGGCGAGCGGGAGUUCCAGAGAGAGGUGCGCGCCAUCGGGCGGACGAGCCACCGCAACCUAGUCCGCCUCCUCGGCUUCUGUCACGAGGGCGCGCACCGCCUCCUGGUGUACGAGUUCAUGAGCAACGGCUCGGUGUCUGACCUGCUCUUCAGGGGUGCUGCCUCGACGCCUCCGUGGUCCGACCGCCUUGGCAUCGCGCUCGACGUGGCCCGGGGCCUGCACUACCUCCAUGACGAGCUCGAUAGCCGCGUGAUCCACUGCGACGUCAAGCCGCAGAACAUCCUCAUAGACGCGGCCGGCACGGCCAAGAUCGCCGACUUCGGGCUCGCCAAACUGCUCCAACCUGACCAGACACGCACUUUCACCGGUGUCCGCGGCACGCGUGGGUACCUGGCCCCGGAGUGGUACAGGGGCACGGGCCCUGUCACGGCGAAGAUUGACGUGUACAGCUACGGCGUGGUGCUGCUCGAGAUCAUGACAUGCAGGAGGAACAUGGAAAUGGAGGAAGCCGGCGAGGAGCAAACCCUGAUGGACCUGGUGUAUGAGUGCCUACUGAAGGGUGAGGUGAAGAGGGCCAUGAAAAGCGAGGAGGACGUCGAUACAGCGGCCGUGGAGCGGGUGGUGAAGGUUGGGCUCUUGUGCGUGCAAGGAGAACCUGAAUCUAGGCCAUCCAUCAAAACCGCCAUCUUAAUGCUGGAAGGACAUCUAGACGUACCAUUUCCUUCGCCUCCGGCUUCUUAG
RNAcentral lists this ribosomal RNA (2376 nucleotides) under Triticum aestivum (bread wheat). Its description in RNAcentral is "partial small subunit ribosomal RNA". Lineage: Eukaryota; Viridiplantae; Streptophyta; Magnoliopsida; Poales; Poaceae. The record is from RNAcentral.